UCCUGGAAUAGAAAAAGAAAGAGACAGAAAAUAGUUUCUCUGAUUGAAGAAUCUAGUCAUCAUCUCAGAUCCCAAAGCAGAGUCCUCAUUGAACCUGGUGGGAAAAAAAUGGUGAAAUCCCUGGGAGCCUCAUUAGUAAUGCUAUUUUUCCAACUGGGCUGGGUUACCAGCCAGUCUAAGAUAAAUCAGAGUCCACAAUUCCUGCAGGUCCAGGAAGGAGGCACAGCCCUAAUUAACUGCAGUUUUACAGACAGUAAUUUUGCUUACUUCCUCUGGUACCGGCAAGUUUCUGGGAAGGCCCUCACAUUUUUGAUAGCAAUUCGUGAGACCCAGGAUAUACAGGAAGAGGGAAGAUUCAUCGUCCAUCUGGAAAAAAGUGCCAAACACUACUUUCUGCAUAUCAAAGUCUCCCAACCUGAAGACUCAGGCUUCUACUUCUGUGCAGCAGAUACACAGUGGUCCCCAGGCACCUGCAGCUUGUGCAUAAACCCUGCAGUGGGUUUUUUUAAUAGUAUAUUUUUUUUAGUAUAAUCUCUUUUUUGGCAGCAAAAACA
Molecule: non-coding RNA, 554 nt
Organism: Antechinus flavipes (yellow-footed antechinus)
Lineage: Eukaryota; Metazoa; Chordata; Mammalia; Dasyuromorphia; Dasyuridae
Source: the annotation of a RefSeq genome assembly